CUUCUGGCCGGAAGACAAGACUCCGCGGGAAAAGCUGCCCUGCUAGGUGGACGAGGAGCUGUCGCGCUGAGGCAGUUUCCUCAAGAGUAACGGCGGGCCUGUGCUAGGGUCACACCACCAGCCUCCGUUUUCUUUAUCCUUCUCUCUCACCAAACGAUAUUCCUGCUCAGUUACAAAGUGCACGUUGUUUCCCUAAGCUGAGAUGGGAGUAACAGAGACCACACUUAAAAAAGACAAGACAAAAUGCAUGUAAGAAUGGUUCUUGAGACUCUGAACAUCUCACAGUGAAGGACGGUGAUUGCUGAGAGAUGAGAAACAAACAAGGUCGCUUUGAAGAGAGAGGAGAUUCCGAGCUACCUGUGAAGGAGAUGCGUUUGGAUGUCGCAGGAGAAUCUGUCAGCUCCUUCUCUGCUUGGCUGGACGACGCUGGAAGGAAAAGCAGAAGAUGUGAUAUAGCAGCCAGACCAGGCCAGCUCCCAGAGGGUUUGUGUUGGGUGAAAAUCAACAUUCAUUUAUAGCACAGGAUUUUCUUGAAACACCAAAAUUCAAGUAGGAUGAGCAUCCGGACUGACUUAUCAAGCACGCUGGAAAAGAAGCAAGUGUUCCAUUUCCCCCAUGAAUUUCUGUCACUAUUUUAACAACUGAAUGCUAAGAAAAAAAGAUAAAUGGACUAAAAGGCUCUGAGCUGGAUUAAGCUAAAUUUGGUGUAUUCUGAUUUCCCCCAAUCAAGACACAGUCUGCUGGCCUAUAGGGGGCAGUAGGGCAGAGAGCGGGUGGUAGAGUCUUACCAGUGUGGCUCUGCAAAUGGCUAGUCAACCUGAGUACCCAGACACACUCCACCUUCACACAAGUCCUCAACAAUGUGAGCCUAACUUGAUUUUCCCAGCUCUUGGAAUCACAACACAGCACAUCACAGGAGACACGACACAUGUGACCCAAGAAAGGAUAUCCGCAUACAAAUACUUGGAAAAAAAUCAAGUUUGGGUUUAGUAACCUGUUUUUGGGGGAAAAGUAAUUGAAGAGUGGAAGAGGUAAGGCAUGAAUCCAACGUAUAAUCUGAGCAAUGCUCCAGACACCAGCGUUUAUUCCAAGUGGGUGGUGAGAGGGAAAGCCUCCUCUCUGCUUGCCCAAACCACACCCCAUUUCACCAAAAAGAACAACCAAAACACUAAUUAAUGAGAAGGGUCACAUGAGACUUAAGAAGCAACAGUAGGCAGAGAAAUGUGGGUAGAAGGAGUUCUCUGAAACAUGGAAAAGAAUCUGGAAGAUUUUGAUCAUAAAACCGCUGGGUUAAAGAUUUAACAAGGAUCAGCAGGGCUUCUCUGUUGUAAACACAUCCCAACAGGAGUAGAUGUGGUCGUUCCACAACCUGGUCAGUAUCUGAGGGUUGGUUCUGUCACUUGUGAACAAUGAACUUCAUUUUUCAGAAACUUGCUACAAAUGAUUUUCAAAAAUCCCAAAAAUGGUGGUGAAAAAUAUAUACCCAUUCCCCUCAUUGAGGUCCUUGAUUUAGAAAGCCUAAUUUUUACUCUUAAGUGCAAAUGCUGUCUGUAUCACCCAGUCUAGUUACCUAGCUCAUGUUUCUACUUUAUGCUCAGCUUUGAAAAUUUGUUCUGACGUGGAUACCAAGAUGCUGU
Long non-coding RNA from Hyaena hyaena (striped hyena), 1637 nucleotides. RefSeq lists it as uncharacterized. The transcript has 3 exons. The record is from RefSeq and is a predicted model, not a curated record. Lineage: Eukaryota; Metazoa; Chordata; Mammalia; Carnivora; Hyaenidae.